AGGGCUUGCCCUGGCGGAUCAGUGGCGAACGGGUGAGUAACACGUGAGCAACCUGCCCCCGACUCUGGGAUAACUCCGGGAAACCGGUGCUAAUACCGGAUAUGACACUGCCGGGCAUCUGGUGGUGUGGAAAGUUUUUCGGUUGGGGAUGGGCUCGCGGCCUAUCAGCUUGUUGGUGGGGUAAUGGCCUACCAAGGCGACGACGGGUAGCCGGCCUGAGAGGGCGACCGGCCACACUGGGACUGAGACACGGCCCAGACUCCUACGGGAGGCAGCAGUGGGGAAUAUUGACACAAUGGGCGAAAGCCUGAUGCAGCGACCCCGCGUGAGGGAUGAAGGCCUUCGGGUUGUAAACCUCUUUCAGCAGGGAAGAAGCGAGAGUGACGGUACCUGCAGAGGAAGCGCCGGCUAACUACGUGCCAGCAGCCGCGGUAAUACGUAGGGCGCAAGCGUUGUCCGGAUUUAUUGGGCGUAAAGAGCUCGUAGGCGGUUUGUCGCGUCUGCUGUGAAAACCUGGGGCUUAACUCCGGGCCUGCAGUGGGUACGGGCAGACUAGAGUGCGGUAGGGGAGACUGGAAUUCCUGGUGUAGCGGUGAAAUGCGCAGAUAUCAGGAGGAACACCGGUGGCGAAGGCGGGUCUCUGGGCCGUAACUGACGCUGGGAAGCGAAAGCGUGGGUAGCGAACAGGAUUAGAUACCCUGGUAGUCCACGCCGUAAACGUUGGGCGCUAGGUGUGGGGCUCAUUCCACGAGUUCCGUGCCGCAGCAAACGCAUUAAGCGCCCCGCCUGGGGAGUACGGCCGCAAGGCUAAAACUCAAAGGAAUUGACGGGGCCCCGCACAAGCGGCGGAGCAUGCGGAUUAAUUCGAUGCAACGCGAAGAACCUUACCAAGGCUUGACAUACAGGGAAAUCUCGCAGAGAUGCGAGGUCCGCAAGGGUCCUGUACAGGUGGUGCAUGGUUGUCGUCAGCUCGUGUCGUGAGAUGUUGGGUUAAGUCCCGCAACGAGCGCAACCCUCGUCCUAUGUUGCCAGCGGGUCAUGCCGGGGACUCAUAGGAGACUGCCGGGGUCUAUUCGGAGGAAGGUGGGGA
This 1090-nucleotide ribosomal RNA is filed under the name uncultured Kineosporiaceae bacterium. RNAcentral's name for it is "bacterial SSU rRNA". It matches the Rfam family "Bacterial small subunit ribosomal RNA", at positions 75 to 1179 of the family's 1533-position model. The record is from RNAcentral. Lineage: Bacteria; Bacillati; Actinomycetota; Actinomycetes; Kineosporiales; Kineosporiaceae.